Molecule: long non-coding RNA, 239 nt
Filed under: Elaeis guineensis (African oil palm)
Lineage: Eukaryota; Viridiplantae; Streptophyta; Magnoliopsida; Arecales; Arecaceae
Description: long non-coding RNA (EGUI_LNC049074)
Source: RNAcentral
UGUGUGGUGAAAUCUUUUAGGAAAAGACUUCUAGAGUGAUCUUAGUGAAGAUCAUGAAGGCAUACAAGUGAUGGUACAAUCAAUUUUUUUGAAGAACGAUCGGCUGCGAGCUUAGGAAGAAGGCUGCAGCACCAUGACGAAUUUGGAAAGGGCCUGAUCAAUCUCGUGUGGAUCACCAUUGAAGGGCUUCUACUUUGAAGCCUCAUAGAGGUCUUAAGAUUACUAGUUCAUGAUCUUCA